CUCGGCAACGGAUAUCUUGGCUCUCGCAUCGAUGAAGAACGCAGCAAAAUGCGAUACUUGGUGUGAAUUGCAGAAUCCCGUGAACCAUCGAGUUUUUGAACGCAAGUUGCGCCCGAAGCUAUUAUGCCUAGGGCACGUCUGCCUGGGCGUCACGCACAU
This 159-nucleotide ribosomal RNA is filed under the name Fraxinus retusa. Its description in RNAcentral is "5.8S ribosomal RNA". It matches the Rfam family "5.8S ribosomal RNA". From Rfam's summary of the family: 5.8S ribosomal RNA (5.8S rRNA) is a component of the large subunit of the eukaryotic ribosome. It is transcribed by RNA polymerase I as part of the 45S precursor that also contains 18S and 28S rRNA. Functionally, it is thought that 5.8S rRNA may be involved in ribosome translocation. Lineage: Eukaryota; Viridiplantae; Streptophyta; Magnoliopsida; Lamiales; Oleaceae. The record is from RNAcentral.